GAGACAUGGGGACACUGUGAGACUAGGGGACACUGGGAGACAUGGGGACACUGGGAGACAUGGGGACACCAUGUCCCUAGUGUCUCAGUGUCUCCAUGUCUCCCAAUGUCUCCCAGUGUCCCCAGUUCUCUCAGUGUCCCCUAGUGUCUCAGUGUCCCCAAGUGUCU
Molecule: non-coding RNA, 167 nt
Organism: Pelobates cultripes (western spadefoot toad)
Lineage: Eukaryota; Metazoa; Chordata; Amphibia; Anura; Pelobatidae
Source: the annotation of a GenBank genome assembly